AGUAGUUUGAUCAUGGCUCAGAAUGACGCUGGCGGCGUGGUUAACACAUGCAAGUCGAGCGCCCGUAGCAAUACGGGAGCGGCGCACGGGUGAGUAACGCGUGGGAACCUGCCCAGAGGUCUGGGACAACCGCGGGAAACUGCGGCUGAUACCGGAUGAUUCCUGAGGGACAAAGAUUUAUCGCCUUUGGAGGGGCCCGCGUCGGAUUAGGUAGUUGGUGGGGUAACGGCUCACCAAGCCUAUGAUCCGUAACUGGUCUGAGAGGAUGACCAGUCGCACUGGGACUGAGACACGGCCCAGACUCCUACGGGAGGCAGCAGGUGGGGGAGUAUUGGACAAUGGGGGCAACCCUGAUCCAGCAAUGCCGCGUGGGUGAUGAAGGCCUUCGGGUUGUAAAGCCCUUUCGGCGGGGACGAUGAUGACGGUACCCGCAGAAGAAGCCCCGGCUAACUUCGUG
RNAcentral lists this ribosomal RNA (457 nucleotides) under uncultured bacterium. RNAcentral describes it as "bacterial SSU rRNA". It matches the Rfam family "Bacterial small subunit ribosomal RNA", at positions 1 to 507 of the family's 1533-position model. The record is from RNAcentral.